CUAAAAUGAAGUAUUCUUUUUUAAAGAGAUGAAAUGUUGAUGUGCUUUCAAAGUUUCCUGUAAUGAAAGCUGAUUCUUAAACUUUGUGUCUAAUUUGUUUCUGCUGAUACAUAUGAGCUCCAGGCCCUUAUAUGGCCUUUAGAGUUUGCUCAGUAACACACUUCAGAAUUUACUACCAACUUAAUAGCAUUUUUAAUUUAGUGAAGCAAAAUGGUAAUGUAAUAGUGUCCCUAAAGAAAAAACAGUGUCAUUAUUUUGUGGGUGUUAAAUUCCUCUAAUGAAAUCAAUUCCAAUUUAUGCUCCUUUUGUUAUAAUAUACAACUUUCUUUAAAGUACAAAUAUUCAGCUGCCUGUAGUAAUGGCAUUGCAUGCUUCCACUGAGUGUCCCUGCUAAUGAGAUUGAUGACUGAGAACUAAAGCCAAGAUUGGAGGGGUUGUGUGUAGGCUAAGCAUAUUUGCUUUGAAUACAGAAAACACUGCCAAAGAGAUCUUCUCUUUUUGCUUUGAAGAAUGCAGGAAAACCUUCUUUUCUGCAAUGAAUGCAAAUAACAGAAAACCAGGAACUGGGGAGAGAGCUGGUAUUACUGAAAACCAAGAAAAAAUACUGUCCAUUUCUUAAUCUGGGUCCUAUGACAAGGUUGCUGACAGAAAAGGAACUACCUCCGGCUUGGGUGCCCCGGAUUCAUAGAUGGACAAAGCUUUCUCUUGUCAAGAUCUUGUCUGUUAACUCAGUUGGGUAGCAUAUUUAUCUUAGUUUCAGCUUCAAAUUCUCACUUGAACAUAUUCUGUUUCUCUACCAGAAUAUAACCCCAAUGUAAAGACUGACAGUCAAGCCCUACUACACCUCUUGGUCAGUUUCUCCAGAUAAUAAUGAAUGCCAUGCAAGUACAUAGGCCAUGUUCUAAAGGAUUCUCAGAAGGCACACCCCUUUGAAGUUAUC
Molecule: long non-coding RNA, 940 nt
Filed under: Aotus nancymaae (Ma's night monkey)
Lineage: Eukaryota; Metazoa; Chordata; Mammalia; Primates; Aotidae
Description: lncRNA (ENSANAG00000039203.1)
Source: RNAcentral